UCUGCCGCUCGUAGGUCGGUGCUGCGCUUUGCUGUGCGCGAGCGACAGACACGGCGGAGGGAAGCGCACGCGCUGCGGCGCUCAGACCCACUUCUGCUUGUCCGGUGCUCCUCAGUCACACACACACUAAGUCUGGAGACGGAUUAUCGGUGUGACUGAAUGAAGUGCGUCACACAGAGAGAAGAAACAGAGGCGGCGAGGGACCGAGAUGCGGAGCAGAGACACGCACAAACACCGAGAACCGGGAGUGUGGAGGAACUCUGAUCCCUAACACACACACACACACACACACACACACACACACACACACACUUCACCGUGACAAGGAGGUUCCCAGAGGUUUCCUCUGUGUAUGAAGACGACAGGCGAUGGAGCACCUUACUGAAAUUUCCUGCAAGUGAACGUUAACUCAACAAAGCGAAAUCAUAAGGAUGUAAAUAAGCGUUCCCCGGGG
Ictalurus punctatus (channel catfish) is the source of this 454-nucleotide long non-coding RNA. NCBI's taxonomy places the organism in Eukaryota, Metazoa, Chordata, Actinopteri, Siluriformes, Ictaluridae. The record is from Ensembl.